AACGAGACCUUAACCUGCUAAAUAGCCAGAUCGUCUUUGGAUGGUCGCCGGCUUCUUAGAGGGACUGUUCGGAUCUACCGAACGGAAGUUUGAGGCAAUAACAGGUCUGUGAUGCCCUUAAUG
This 123-nucleotide ribosomal RNA is filed under the name Sebacinaceae sp. RNAcentral describes it as "partial small subunit ribosomal RNA". It matches the Rfam family "Eukaryotic small subunit ribosomal RNA", at positions 1334 to 1475 of the family's 1831-position model. The record is from RNAcentral. Lineage: Eukaryota; Fungi; Basidiomycota; Agaricomycetes; Sebacinales; Sebacinaceae.